GUGCCUGCAGCCGCGGUAAUACCGGCAGCCCGAGUGAUGGCCGAUCUUAUUGGGCCUAAAGCGUCCGUAGCUGGCUGCGCAAGUCCGUCGGGAAAUCCACUGGCUCAACCAGUGGGCGUCCGGCGGAAACUGUGCGGCUUGGGACCGGAAGGCUCGAGAGGUACGUCCGGGGUAGGAGUGAAAUCCCGUAAUCCCGAACGGACCACCGAUGGCGAAAGCAUCUCGAGAAAACGGAUCCGACAGUGAGGGACGAAAGCUAGGGUCUCGAACCGGAUUAGAUACCCUAGUAGUCC
Molecule: ribosomal RNA, 293 nt
Filed under: uncultured bacterium
Lineage: Bacteria
Description: partial 16S ribosomal RNA
Rfam family: Archaeal small subunit ribosomal RNA
Source: RNAcentral